Molecule: ribosomal RNA, 253 nt
Filed under: uncultured bacterium
Lineage: Bacteria
Description: partial 16S ribosomal RNA
Rfam family: Bacterial small subunit ribosomal RNA
Source: RNAcentral
UACGUAGGGUCCGAGCGUUGUCCGGAAUUAUUGGGCGUAAAGGGCUCGUAGGCGGUUCGUCACGUCGGGAGUGAAAACUCGGAGCUUAACUCCGAGCCUGCUUCCGAUACGGGCAGACUAGAGGUAGGCAGGGGAGAGCGGAACUCCUGGUGUAGCGGUGGAAUGCGCAGAUAUCAGGAAGAACACCCGUGGCGAAGGCGGUUCUCUGGGACGGUACUGACGCUGAGACGCGAAAGCGUGGGGAGCGAACAGG